AUUGAACGCUGGCGGCAUGGCUAAAACAUGCAAGUCGAACGCCUGUAGCAAUACAGGAGUGGCGAAAGGGCGAGGAAUAGAUUCCUAUGUACCUCAAGGUCGGGGAUACCCCGGAGAAAUCCGGAUCAAUACCCGAUGUGGUCGAGAGAUCAAAGGUUUACCGCCUUGAGAGCAGGGAAUCUCCUAUCAGGUAGUUGGUGAGGUAAUGGCUCACCAAGCCGAAGACGGGUAGCGGGUGUGAGAGCACGGCCCGCCGCAUCGAGACUGAGACACUGCUCGGACUCCUACGGGAGGCUGCAGUAACGAAUCUUCCGCAAUGCGCGAAAGCGUGACGGGGCAAUGCCGCGUGCAGGAUGAAGCCCUUCGGGGUGUAAACUGCUGUCAGGGUGCAGGAAUGAAAUGACCAUACCCAAAGGAAGCACCGGCUAACUCUGUGCCAGCAGCCGCGGUAAGGUAGAUGAGU
Molecule: ribosomal RNA, 463 nt
Filed under: uncultured bacterium
Lineage: Bacteria
Description: bacterial SSU rRNA
Rfam family: Bacterial small subunit ribosomal RNA
Source: RNAcentral